This 3903-nucleotide long non-coding RNA is filed under the name Olea europaea subsp. europaea. The record is from RNAcentral. Lineage: Eukaryota; Viridiplantae; Streptophyta; Magnoliopsida; Lamiales; Oleaceae.
CUCAUCGCACAAUAUACCCAACCCAGAAAGACGGAAGAAAAAACCGGAAAGAAAGAAGACGAAACCAAAUCGUCACACAAACAAACUAGGAAGAAGGAAGAAAAAUCAAGUACCCGAUCGAAUCACUACUUCCAUAUCCACCCUAUUCACUGCAAAAGGUCGACACUGCGCCUUUGAUUGUGUCAAUUAUAGUUUGUUUCACAACAUUUUAAAAAAUUGCAGUAUGUUGUUCAGUGUGAAUGUCUUUUAUGUAUUUUUCCCCAUAAAUAAGUUUAUUGGAUCAUAAUCUACAUAUUAAUUGUGUAAAAUGUUUACUCUGGUUCAGUUUGAUGUUGAAUGUGCUCAAUUAUUUUCCUAAAAAUUGAUGGUUUGUGAUUUACAGCACCCGUUAUAGUUGUAUAUUAAUUUUCAUCCUUGGAUAUGUGUUAGUUUUGUGUCUCAAUAACUUAAAUAUGGUUUGUGAUUACAUUUUUGAUGCCAUUAUUUUCAAAGUUAUUCCUCCUAAAUAUGUAAGUUGCCAACAGGCUGUGCAAAUACCAUUGAUUUUGCCAAAUUAUCAAAAAUGACUUGUAAUUCGUUUUGAAGCAUAAAAAUAUGUUUGGAAUCAAUUAAUUGUAGAAUUUGACUUCUGUACUCGUGUUCUGUAUCACUUUGUCCCUCGCGUGUCCUCGGUGUGGUGACGAGGUUUCUUAUCUGUUGUGCUGAUUCACUUUUACUCUUUUGACAUAUAGUUUUGCUUGAUGCUUGCAUUACUAGCUUCCUUGCCAUCUACCUAUGGAGACUUAGAUGGCCAUGUAAUAUAUAUUGAUGUGGAAUCCAAUAGUUCAACAAAGUACUUAUUGAUCCGACUGUACUAAUUUCUAUGCUUUACCAUGAAUAGAUUUCUAGAAUCUUAUAGUCACACUCUGCCUUUAUUUUCAAAAUGAUAGAAAUGGGGUUUGACAGUUUUCCAGAAAUAUUUCACACGAAAGGAAUGGCAAAAGAGACAAACAUGUUCAGUGUUCUGUACUUUAUCUUUCUCAAUUCAUUCCUUGAUGUCUGUGAUGGGUAUGAGAUGAUAUAAUGUUUCAGCCCUUUUUAUGGUGGUUCAAGAUAACCAAGAAAUGGGUUUAUCUGUAUAUUAUGUUAAGGGCUAUUAAUUUAGUUAGAUCAAGAAUUAGAAUAUCAAUUUCAAGUUUAACCAUAAUGCUCAUAUCCUAUGUUGGCUGAGGACAUGACUAAUAAUUUUUAGGGUUAUUACUUGCAAAUACCAUGUUUUUAUAUAGAGAUUGACGUGCCAUCAAAAUUAUUUUGUAAUUUGUCCACAACUGUGAGUAGUCAUAGGGAUUGAACCUUCCACUUUAAAAUGCAGUUUUAAGUUCCUCUUCAGCUACAAAUAGAUUUUUCCUCACCUGCCUUGAUUGCCUUUACUAUUUUCUUCAACCUUCUAAUAUAAGAAUACUUAAAAGAUGCAUGCAGACUCCAUUCUAAAUCUAUCAGGUUUUUUAUUUCCCUGAAUAAUGUUUCAGAAUUAUUUCUUUGGUAGUAACUGAGAUUGUAUCAAUAUUAUUCCAAAUGACUAAAUAUAUUAUUCAUCUUGUAUAAAUAUAAUACGUAAUAUAUAUGUAAAUUUUAUUUCACGUGAUAGUUCGUAAUAUGGCUACAACAAGGAAUCAACGUUAAUGCGAACGACAACAUUUAGGUUUAUUUUAAAUUAUGGUCAUACAAGUAAUUGUGAUAUAUAAUGAUAUUAGGCAUCGGGAACAAUAUCUUCCUAGAGCUCCUCUCACUAAUUGGGAUUCAGAAAGGGAGAUGACACUUACAUGAAUGUUUGGUACGAGUGAUACGAUAUGUCGUCAUUCACCUUGGAUGAAAAUAGGUCCAUUUCAAAGAUUGUGUGCUCAUUUGCGAACUUAUAGGUUGUUUGAUAGUAAGUUUGUCCGAAUUGAGGAACAAGUGGCUAUUUUUCUAAACACCGUCGGGCAAGACCAACGUAAUCGAGCUGGACUUUACUUUUUUUCGAUCUAGUCAAAUAGUGAGUUUUUACUUCCACAUAGUCUUAAUGCGUGUCUUAGACCGUAUAGAGAUGUUGUGAUUAAUGCCACUUCUCAUAACUCUCCAUACGAGAAGGAAAAUUUGAAGCCAUGGUGCUCAUUUUUUCAGAUUCAAGGUUUGUGGUUAUUUCAUUAUAUCUUAGAACUUCAAUGUUAUAAUAUUUUGAAAAUUAUUCUUUUUUAAAGGAUGUUGUCGGGGCAAUAGAUGGUACACACAUUACUGCGAACGUCUCUUUAGAAGAGCAAGCUAGGUAUAACAAUAGAAAGCAAGUAAUUCCUCAAAAUGUUUUGAUAGUUUGCACAUUUGAUAUGAAAUUUACAUAUGUGCUUGUCGAUUGGGAGGGAUCAGCACAUGAUGGUCGAUUGUUAAAGAGUGCAAUAUUAUGCCAAGGGCAUAAGCUAGCAAUUCCUUUUGGUAAGUCGUAUUACUAAUUUGAAAAAGAAAAUCUUACACAUACAAGUUAUAAUAAUUAAAUAAUUACUAUGUAAUAAUAACUGUAACAGGUAAAUAUUAUCUUGUCGAUGUCAGUUUCCCAUUGGUUUUGUGAUUUCUUACGCCAUACUAUGGGACUCGUUAUCAUUGUAGAGACAUUGAGGGUCAACGUCUUGAAAGUAGCAAGGAGUUAUUCAAUUUUCGACAUUCAUCUCUACGUAAUGUCAUUGAGAGGACAAUUGGUUUGCUGAAAAAAAGAUUUGCAUAUUUGAGACAUCAACCCUACCACGACAUUGACACAGAAGCAAAGAUAGUCCUUGCUUAUUCUGCCAUCCACAACUUCUUAAGGAUUGAUGACAUAGAAGAUAUUUGUGAAGAGGACUUAGUUAGUAGCGAUGACGAGGUUAACCUUACACACUGUUGAUGUACCUAAAGAUGAAACUCCAAAUGCUCACAUAUCUUUCACAUCUCCAGAAGCAUGGUCUAAUAAAAGGAAUACAAUUGCUGUGUUAAUGUAGGCUGAUUAUCGUCCUAAUCAGCUAGAUGUAGCAGUUGAUUUCGAUUGAAGUCUAAUAUUUUAUUUAUUUAUUUAUGUUUCUAUGUAAUGGAACUAAACUUGACACACUUUCAUAUUUAGCUAUUGCUAAGAAUAAAGAUGUACUGAUAUUAGAUAGUUUUUUUCACGUCCUUGUGUAAUGUUUAACAUAAGGUUGCUAGAGUUUUAAAUGUUGUAAUUGGAUUUGAUCUUAUUCGUUUCAAAUUGUUGACAUACAUUAUUUUUACCUGUUUGUAUUUAAUAGUCAACCAUAAACUUUUAAUCUUACCAUACAGAUUUCAUAGCACAUAAUCGACAAAACACUACGACACCGUUUCGAGUUCCUAGACCAACCAUCAAUUCAGAUGUGGAGGAAAUAAGCUCAACCCAAGUGGAUCCCAAUUCGAGGAAUCGUCACGUGCGUUGGAGUGAUGCAAUGGACAGUUGUAUGAUAACUACACUUUUACAUCAGGAGUUGGUUGGUCACAAAAGGAAUGACAAUGGGUUUUCAUCAUUUCACGUUUCCAAAGCAAUUGAGAGCGUGCAUAACAGAUGUUGAGUCAUGGUCUCAGAUAAGAAUGCGAGGGCGCGAUUGAAGACUUUAAAAAAGAAUUUUUCGAAGUUCGCAAUUGUUGAGUAUGAGUGAUUUUGGGUUAGAUCCUGACACUGGACGUGUCACAGCUGAUGUUCUAGCUUGGGAGAGUUUUUGAAGGUACAAUAUGUCAUCAACCAACAAAAUUAUUAGGCAUUUAAUAUUAGUACAGUAUCUUUUGACAUUGACUAUGCAUAACACAUAUUCCACUCUUUUUUCCUUUCUAGGAAGAACCAGUAUUCGGAAUUUGGAGGACCAAACUAUGUCCUUAUUAUAAUGAUAUGAAUGCUAUCUUUGGAAAUGACUCGGC